This 500-nucleotide ribosomal RNA is filed under the name uncultured bacterium. RNAcentral's name for it is "partial 16S ribosomal RNA". It matches the Rfam family "Bacterial small subunit ribosomal RNA", at positions 30 to 523 of the family's 1533-position model. The record is from RNAcentral.
AUUGAACGCUGGCGGCAUGCCUUACACAUGCAAGUCGAACGGUAACAGGGAGCUUGCUCCGCUGACGAGUGGCGAACGGGUGAGUAAUGUAUCGGAACGUACCUUUCAGUGGGGGAUAACGUAGCGAAAGUUACGCUAAUACCGCAUAUUCUGUGAGCAGGAAAGCAGGGGACCUUCGGGGCUUGCGCUGGUUGAGCGGCUGAUAUCAGAUUAGCUAGUUGGUGAGGUAAAGGCUCACCAAGGCGACGAUCUGUAGCGGGUCUGAGAGGAUGAUCCGCCACACUGGAACUGAGACACGGUCCAGACUCCUACGGGAGGCAGCAGUGGGGAAUUUUGGACAAUGGGGGCAACCCUGAUCCAGCCAUGCCGCGUGAGUGAAGAAGGCCUUCGGGUUGUAAAGCUCUUUCGGCCGGGAAAAAAUCGCAUGGGCUAAUACCCUGUGUGGAUGAUGGUACCGGAAUAAGAAGCACCGGCUAACUACGUGCCAGCAGCCGCCGCGG